CCGUUGGUCUUUCUCUGAACCCAAGGUAAUGACUAAUGGGAACAAUCGAGGACAUUUGUAUUGAGGCGCGAGGGGUGAAAUCCGGUGACCGUCUCAAGACAAACAAAGGCGAAAGCAUUUGUCAAGGAUGUUUUCAUUAAUCAAGAACGAAAGUUAGAGGAUCGAAGGCGAUCAGAUACCGCCCUAGUUCUAACCAUAAACGAUGCCAACCAGCAAUCCGAAAGGCUAAUACCAUGGUCGGUCGGGCAGCUUCCCCGGGAAACCAGAGUUUUUGGGUUCCGGGGGGAGUAUGGUUGCAAAACUGAAACUUAAAGGAAUUGACGGAAGGGCACCACCAGGAGUGGAGCCUGCGGCUUAAUUUGACUCAACACGGGAAACCUCACCAGGCCCAGACACUAUGUGGAUUGACAGAAUGAUAGCUCUUUCUCGAUUUAGUGGGUGGUGGUGCAUGGCCGUUCUUAGUUGGUGGAGUGAUUUGUCUGGUUAAUUC
This 490-nucleotide ribosomal RNA is filed under the name Pisidia magdalenensis. Its description in RNAcentral is "SSU rRNA". It matches the Rfam family "Eukaryotic small subunit ribosomal RNA", at positions 837 to 1325 of the family's 1831-position model. Lineage: Eukaryota; Metazoa; Arthropoda; Malacostraca; Decapoda; Porcellanidae. The record is from RNAcentral.